CACCAAGGUAUUAAUAUAAACCAGAGUCUCUAGUCGGUGAACUGGUCGACCACCAAGGUAUUAAUAUAAACCAGAGUCUCUAGUCGGUGAACUGGUCGACCACCAAGGUAUUAAUAUAAACCAGAGUCUCUAGUCGGUGAACUGGUCGACCACCAAGGUAUUAAUAUAAACCAGAGUCUCUAGUCAGUGAACUGGUCGACCACCAAGGUAUUUAUAUAAACCAGAGUCUCUAGUCAGUGAACUGGUCGACCACCAAGGUAUUAAUAUAAACCAGAGUCUCUAGUCAGUGAACUGGUCGACCACCAAGGUAUUAAUAUAAACCAGAGUCUC
This is a long non-coding RNA of Oncorhynchus tshawytscha (Chinook salmon), 330 nucleotides long. The record is from Ensembl. Lineage: Eukaryota; Metazoa; Chordata; Actinopteri; Salmoniformes; Salmonidae.